This 348-nucleotide long non-coding RNA is filed under the name Mytilus galloprovincialis (Mediterranean mussel). The record is from RNAcentral. Lineage: Eukaryota; Metazoa; Mollusca; Bivalvia; Mytilida; Mytilidae.
GUUGCAAGUAUAACCCCGUCCCUUUUCCCCGACUGUGACGUACUGAAUAAAGAAUUUUGACGGGUUUGUAAUAAUUCGAUCAAUACGACGAGUGCACCAUUUGGAGCAUGAUCUAUCCCUUCAGGAGCACCUGAGAUCACCCCCAUUUUGGUGGACUUUGUGUUGCUCAGUCUUUAGUUUUCUAUGUUGUUUUAUGUGUACUGUUGUUUUUCUGUCCUUUUCAUUUUUUAGCCAUGGCGUUGUCAGUUUAUUUUUUACUUUAGUUUGAAUAUAUCUUUGGUAUCUUUUGUCUCUUUAAUAUGCCGAGCCACUUCCUGUAUACACUCUAAAAGCUAACUAUGAUACUGA